RNAcentral lists this ribosomal RNA (525 nucleotides) under uncultured bacterium. RNAcentral describes it as "bacterial SSU rRNA". It matches the Rfam family "Bacterial small subunit ribosomal RNA", at positions 8 to 526 of the family's 1533-position model. The record is from RNAcentral.
AGAGUUUGAUCCUGGCUCAGGACGAACGCUGGCGGCGUGCCUAACACAUGCAAGUCGAACGGUAACAUGGGUGCUUGCACCUGAUGACGAGUGGCGGACGGGUGAGUAAUGUAUGGGGAUCUGCCGAAUGGAAUGGGACAACAGUUGGAAACGACUGCUAAUACCGUAUAAUGUCGCGAGACCAAAGAGGGGGACCUUCGGGCCUCUUGCCAUCGGAUGUGCCCAGAUGGGAUUAGCUAGUAGGUGGGGUAACGGCUCACCUAGGCGACGAUCCCUAGCUGGUCUGAGAGGAUGACCAGCCACACUGGAACUGAGACACGGUCCAGACUCCUACGGGAGGCAGCAGUGGGGAAUAUUGCACAAUGGGCGCAAGCCUGAUGCAGCCAUGCCGCGUGUAUGAAGAAGGCCUUCGGGUUGUAAAGUACUUUCAGCGGGGAGGAAGGCAAUACGGUUAAUAACCGUGUUGAUUGACGUUACCCGCAGAAGAAGCACCGGCUAACUCCGUGCCAGCAGCCGCGGUAAUUC